This 292-nucleotide ribosomal RNA is filed under the name uncultured bacterium. RNAcentral's name for it is "partial 16S ribosomal RNA". It matches the Rfam family "Bacterial small subunit ribosomal RNA", at positions 505 to 796 of the family's 1533-position model. The record is from RNAcentral.
GUGUCAGCAGCCGCGGUAAUACGGAGGGGGCUAGCGUUGUUCGGAAUUACUGGGCGUAAAGCGCGCGUAGGCGGCUUUGUAAGUCAGAGGUGAAAUCCCGGGGCUCAACUCCGGAACUGCCUUUGAAACUGCAUCGCUUGAAUGUCGGAGAGGUGAGUGGAAUUCCGAGUGUAGAGGUGAAAUUCGUAGAUAUUCGGAAGAACACCAGUGGCGAAGGCGGCUCACUGGACGACUAUUGACGCUGAGGUGCGAAAGCGUGGGGAGCAAACAGGAUUAGAAACCCCCGUAGUCC